CGAUAGCCAUAUCAGAGUACGACAGCGUUUUGAUGCCCCACGUAAAACACAUAAGAGCCCCGACCCUCGCCCCCAUCUUACCUCCAUUCCCGGCUGGACGUCGGCCCCAUCUUCCGAGGCCUGCUGCACGUGCAGCACAUGGAUGGGAACAUGACAAUUAGCAUCAGGAACAAGAAAGAGGGCAACGGGUAACGAAUACACAACGAAACACACAAACGUGGCACAGAUGUGGCCCACCACUACCUGCCUACAUCAAACAAAUCUGCCGUACUCCGAUAGCCAUAUCGUAGUACGACAGCGUCUUGAUGCCCCACGUAAAACACAUAAGAGCCCCGACCCUCGCCCCCAUCUUACCUCCAUUCCCGGUUGGACGUUGGCCCCAUCUUCCGAGGCCUGCUGCACGUGCAGCACAUGGAUGGGAACAUGACAAUUAGGGCAGGCACGUCAAUGGCGGAGGCGAAACAUACACGCCCCCCUCCCCCAACCAGCCCCAGCCACCCUCCAUAGCAUCAGGAACAAGAAAGAGGGCAACAGGUAACGAUUCCACAACGAAACACACAACCGUGGCACAGAUGUGGCCCACCACUACCUGCCUACAUCAAACAAAUCUGCCGUACUCCGAUAGCCAUAUCAGAGUACGACAGCGUUUUGAUGCCCCACGUAAAACACAUAAGAGCCCCGACCCUCGCCCCCAUCUUACCUCCAUUCCCGGCUGGACGUCGGCCCCAUCUUCCGAGGCCUGCUGCACGUGCAGCACAUGGAUGGGAACAUGACAAUUAGCAUCAGGAACAAGAAAGAGGGCAACGGGUAACGAAUACACAACGAAACACACAAACGUGGCACAGAUGUGGCCCACCACUACCUGCCUACAUCAAACAAAUCUGCCGUACUCCGAUAGCCAUAUCGUAGUACGACAGCGUCUUGAUGCCCCACGUAAAACACAUAAGAGCCCCGACCCUCGCCCCCAUCUUACCUCCAUUCCCGGUUGGACGUUGGCCCCAUCUUCCGAGGCCUGCUGCACGUGCAGCACAUGGAUGGGAACAUGACAAUUAGGGCAGGCACGUCAAUGGCGGAGGCGAAACAUACACGCCCCCCUCCCCCAACCAGCCCCAGCCACCCUCCAUAGCAUCAGGAACAAGAAAGAGGGCAACGGGUAACGAUUCUACAACGAAACACACAACCGUGGCACAGAUGUGGCCCACCACUAUCUGCCUACAUCAAACAAAUCUGCCGUACUCCGAUAGCCAUAUCGGAGUACGACAGCAUUUUGAUGGCCCAUGAAAAACACAUAAGAGCCCCGACCCCCGCCCCCAUCUUACCUCCAUUCCCGGCUGGACGUCGGCCCCAUCUUCCGAGGCCUGCUGCACGUGCAGCACAUGGAUGGGAACAUGACAAUUAGGGCAGGCACGUCAAUGGCGGAGGCGAAACAUACACGCCCCCCUCCCCCAACCAGCCCCAGCCACCCUCCAUAGCAUCAGGAACAAGAAAGAGGGCAACGGGUAACGAUUCCACAACGAAACACACAACCGUGGCGCAGAUGUGGCCCACCACUACCUGCCUACAUUGGGACAUUGGACAUUGAAGCCAUAAUAGCCAAAGCACAUUGGGAAGCAUGAAUAUAGCCGGUGAACUUAUCAUAAGUGAAAUUUAGGUUACUUAGGGUGUUUGCCACUUGUUUUGGUGCUCCGAUGUAACAUGACCAUUGGUAGUCAUGGUCAUGGCCCAAAGGAACGCCGAUUGUUCCAGCACAAAGUAGAAUAUAGUUGAUGAACAAAUAAGUACAUAGGCAAGGUUACCCGAGGACAACGUCGAUCGACCUGGUCGACCAGGUCCGCCAAUGUAGUGGGUCCAUGCCACAAUAUCCGAAAGUCAGCUGAAAUCAUUUAAAACCUUGUCAGGUUUACUGAACAAAAUUACGACCGACGAGGUUUCCAUGCAAUUGGCUGACAUAACCCACGUCAAAAGUAACCUCAUCCAGACAACCGUCCCGUAGCUGCUGAGCCUUGGGCGCUACACGUCUCUGGACUGCCAAAUGGCCGUAGGUAGAGAGCAAAUCGUAAGGACAAAUAAUGCCUCCCUACACUCAUAUUUGAUGGCAAACAUGUUAACUAACCUCGUCAUAACAUUUCACACACUCAGCGCGCAUAUCUGUGCCUAAUUAUGACACUUUCAAGGUUGCACAUUUAUCAAGCUUCUAGCUGGCGAGUAACCUGUCCAGACAACUGCCCCGUAGCUACCGAGCCUGACGAGUUACACGUCUCCAGACUGCCAUAGGGAGGGCAGUUGCCGUCUCCGCCUCGUCCGUAAAGUUUCUUUAGUUUAGCAUUAAAUAGCAGCCUGUAUCGAGCUUUCAGUACUUGCAGUUUGAGCCAGUGUGGCAUCUUUGUGUUACUAAGGAAGGAAUUGCUAGAUUCGGGGUCUAACUUCGAGGCAGUGUUACGCCAUUUUUCAGUUAGUAUUGUGUCGUUGGUAUAGCCUGCGAAGGUACCUUGCUGGAGACGCUUAUAAAGGCCUUUGUUCAGGUCACUAAUGUAAAGACCAGUGUCGCGUUGUUUCAGCCAGAACACUUUAUCGAACGGGGCAUUGUCGGCCUUUUCAGUAAAUGUUGCUGGGUUCUCACCUCGUGCGACAGAUGUUGC
RNAcentral lists this long non-coding RNA (2639 nucleotides) under Volvox carteri. RNAcentral's name for it is "long non-coding RNA (VCAR_LNC003605)". The record is from RNAcentral. Lineage: Eukaryota; Viridiplantae; Chlorophyta; Chlorophyceae; Chlamydomonadales; Volvocaceae.